CUACGGGUCGCAGCAGUGGGGAAUAUUGCACAAUGGAGGAAACUCUGAUGCAGCAACGCCGCGUGGAGGAUGACACUUUUCGGAGCGUAAACUCCUUUUAUAUAGGAAGAAGAUGACGGUACUAUAUGAAUAAGCGCCGGCUAACUCCGUGCCAGCAGACCGCGGUAAUACGGAGGGCGCAAGCGUUACUCGGAAUCACUGGGCGUAAAGAGCGUGUAGGCGGAUUAAAAAGUCAGAAGUGAAAUCCUAUAGCUUAACUAUAGAACUGCUUCUGAAACUCUUUAUCUAGAAUAUGGGAGAGGUAGAUGGAAUUUCUGGUGUAGGGGUAAAAUCCGUAGAGAUCAGAAGGAAUACCGAUUGCGAAGGCGAUCUACUAGAACAUUAUUGACGCUGAGACGCGAAAGCGUGGGGAGCAAACAGGAUUAGAUACCCGCGUAGUC
Molecule: ribosomal RNA, 440 nt
Filed under: uncultured bacterium
Lineage: Bacteria
Description: partial 16S ribosomal RNA
Rfam family: Bacterial small subunit ribosomal RNA
Source: RNAcentral